This 357-nucleotide ribosomal RNA is filed under the name uncultured Desulfobulbus sp. RNAcentral's name for it is "bacterial SSU rRNA". It matches the Rfam family "Bacterial small subunit ribosomal RNA", at positions 1025 to 1382 of the family's 1533-position model. The record is from RNAcentral. Lineage: Bacteria; Pseudomonadati; Thermodesulfobacteriota; Desulfobulbia; Desulfobulbales; Desulfobulbaceae.
AAUCUGGAGACAGGUGCUGCAUGGCUGUCGUCAGCUCGUGUCGUGAGAUGUUGGGUUAAGUCCCGCAACGAGCGCAACCCUUGCCUUUAGUUGCCAGCAGUUCGGCUGGGCACUCUAAAGGGACUGCCGGUGUUAAACCGGAGGAAGGUGGGGAUGACGUCAAGUCCUCAUGGCCUUUAUGACCAGGGCUACACACGUACUACAAUGGCCGAUACAAAGGGCAGCGACACUGCGAGGUGAAGCCAAUCCCGUAAAAUCGGUCUCAGUCCGGACUGGAGUCUGCAACUCGACUCCAUGAAGUUGGAAUCGCUAGUAAUCGUGGAUCAGCAUGCCACGGUGAAUACGUUCCCGGGCCUU